GGAAUUAAUAACUGUAAUGAUCCUUCCGCAGGUUCACCUACGGAAACCUUGUUA
RNAcentral lists this ribosomal RNA (54 nucleotides) under Yamadazyma scolyti. RNAcentral describes it as "partial 28S ribosomal RNA". The record is from RNAcentral. Lineage: Eukaryota; Fungi; Ascomycota; Pichiomycetes; Serinales; Debaryomycetaceae.